This 268-nucleotide ribosomal RNA is filed under the name uncultured bacterium. RNAcentral describes it as "partial 16S ribosomal RNA". It matches the Rfam family "Bacterial small subunit ribosomal RNA", at positions 1072 to 1339 of the family's 1533-position model. The record is from RNAcentral.
AUGUUGGGUUAAAGUCCCGCAACGAGCGCAACCCUUGUCCUUAGUGCCAGCGAGUGAAGUCGGGAACUCUAAGGAGACUGCCGGUGACAAACCGGAGGAAGGUGGGGAUGACGUCAAGUCAUCAUGGCCCUUACGGCCAGGGCUACACACGUACUACAAUGGUCGGUACAGAGGGCAGCGAGACCGCGAGGUGGAGCCAAUCCCAGAAAACCGAUCUCAGUCCGGAUUGGAGUCUGCAACUCGACUCCAUGAAGUCGGAAUCGCUAGU